CUACUGUUGCUUUCUUCAGAGACACAGUGGGCAUCUAUACUGUGCCAACUGUUGAAAAAUCUUCAUCUGUAUCCCAGGGUGAAGAAAAGAACAGUUAGAAACCAGCUGUUAUAUUAACCAUAACCAUUAUCUUUUAUGGGAUCCCAAAGAGGAUUAAUCUUCAUUCACAAACAGGUGGGCAGAUUCAUAGCUUCCCUGGAAAUGUACAACUACAACUACUGUUUAUCUCAUCUCUGAUAAUGUGAAUGAGCUUCCAGACAGGCCACCAUCUAUGCCAUUGGAACCCAACACCUGCCCAGAGGAUAAAAUCAGAAUGUAAAGAUUUUAAACAUGGUUUUUCAAAUGCCACUCCCUUUGUAAAUAAAAUAAACUACAGCUAAGGUUACUAAAAUUUAAAAGUAUGCACAAAGAGUGCUCAGGCAAGGUGCAGUAGUAUUCAUCGAAACACCAAGCAACUAUGCAGACUGAGGCUGAAUGGUCCAUGUAGAGUGUAUUUAUAUUAUUUUGGGAAAUUUCAGUUAAAAUUUGGACUAAUCAGACCAUUCCAUUAUUUUUUUCCUUUCUGUGAAACUUUGCUGCUAUAAUUUUUAUCCCCUUUUCUUUUAAUAUUUGAUUGCUUAAACAUGAUCAAGAGACUUUAAGUUCUUUCCUCCAAUUAUUGUAUUUUAGAAUUUCAUAUAUAUUUGGAUAUUAUAGAAAAUUCAAGGUCAACUAAAGAGGUUUCCUAGUAAUCUUCUGGCAAUUAUUGAGCCUUUAGA
Molecule: non-coding RNA, 758 nt
Organism: Microcebus murinus (gray mouse lemur)
Lineage: Eukaryota; Metazoa; Chordata; Mammalia; Primates; Cheirogaleidae
Source: RefSeq, a predicted model, not a curated record